RNAcentral lists this small RNA (87 nucleotides) under Flavobacterium gillisiae. RNAcentral's name for it is "Flavo-1 RNA". It matches the Rfam family "Flavo-1 RNA". Lineage: Bacteria; Pseudomonadati; Bacteroidota; Flavobacteriia; Flavobacteriales; Flavobacteriaceae. The record is from RNAcentral.
AACUAGCCCCGAUAAAAGCGGCAUCCUUUUCUUGUUCUCGUUUUUUAACGAGGACAAGAAAAGAUAUAGCGGAUAGCGGGAAAUAGC